AAAAAAAAAAAAAAAUGAAGAUCCGGUGGAUGGGAAGGCGGAGAUUUGAGGAAAGGACAGUCUCCUACACGUCUUCCCCCUCGCAGAAGCGCGCCCUAACCCUGACAGCCACUGUGGAGCCACUGCUGCCCAUCAAAGAAGUUUGCUGACUUCUGGAAAUUAUCAGUGAUAAACCCUCCCUUUUGUCGUAAAA
Molecule: long non-coding RNA, 193 nt
Organism: Phacochoerus africanus (Common warthog)
Lineage: Eukaryota; Metazoa; Chordata; Mammalia; Artiodactyla; Suidae
Exons: 2
Source: RefSeq, a predicted model, not a curated record